This is a long non-coding RNA of Numida meleagris (helmeted guineafowl), 1053 nucleotides long. RefSeq lists it as uncharacterized. Lineage: Eukaryota; Metazoa; Chordata; Aves; Galliformes; Numididae. The record is from RefSeq and is a predicted model, not a curated record. The transcript has 3 exons.
CCGUCCUGUAGCCACCUCGUAUCUCUGCGCUGUGGGCUCCUUCGGGAACUUUCUGUUGUUUUUAUUUUAUCUAGUAGGGUUGCUGCUCAGCUCUCUGAGAGCUGCUUGCAGUUGCUCUGGUGUGUCCUCCUUCAGAGGGGGAGGUUACACAGCUCAGCAGCAGAAAAUGGAGGUAGAUGGGGAUGUCUCCAGGAACUUGGAGUGCGGGUGGCUGUGGCACUACUCGCAGGACAUGCAUCUGGGCUUUCUUCUGCUCCCAUGCAGUGCCUGUGCAUUUUCUUGCCUUGUGGGUCAUAUUCUCAGUUGCUGAAUCCACGGUUAUUGUCAAAAAGGCAGUCAGAAACUCCCUGGAGGUUUUUCCAAAGUGAGUAAGGCUGAAUUUUCUGACUGGACUGCAUCUCCAGUGGUAUUUGAUGGUUAUGGAUUCUUGCAGUGCAUUUCCCUUCUCAUCCUAGUCAAGAGAGCUCUGAAUUUUUUGGAGGAUGUCAUUCAUAUACCAUACUCUGCACUUUUCUUCCUGUAGUCUUCAAAUGAAGAACUGUCUGAUAUUUCACUGAUGGCUUUCUGUGCUUCACAAAACUACAGUAGCUAAACUUAGCUAUCUUUCCUGAUAUAUGAUUUCCUGAUUUCUUGUGUCAUUCUAAGGUGGGAUAAUAUGGUACCAGAGAGAGCCAGCCAUGCUCUCAUAAGGGCUCAUGGUGCACCUUUUUUGUCAUCAGCUUGCUGGCCCUGAGCUGCUGACUAGUGAGUUAGAGGAAGCCGACUUGAUGUGUUUAAGGCAAUCUUCACAGAAGUGGCUGAAUAUACAGCAAGAGCAGUUGUGGUAUGCUGUAUUUAUUCUUUACUGUUGUUCUUAGGAACUUCUGUUUCCUAAUGUUUAUCCUUUUUUCAAAUGACUACCUUGUCCACUGUGCUGUUUGUCUCCAGUCAUCAUGUAAAACUAUAUGAGAUGUCUUAAGGUAUUGUAAAUAAAUGCUUGUAUUCGGGAUUGAUAAGAUGCAUAGAAUUAAAAAUAUGAAUAGUCAGAAAUAAAGCCUAUGAAGUUGGACAUGA